This 387-nucleotide ribosomal RNA is filed under the name uncultured bacterium. RNAcentral describes it as "bacterial SSU rRNA". It matches the Rfam family "Bacterial small subunit ribosomal RNA", at positions 28 to 417 of the family's 1533-position model. The record is from RNAcentral.
GACGAACGCUGGCGGCGUGCUUAACACAUGCAAGUCAAGGGGGCCCAGUAGCAAUACUGGGCAACCGGCGAACGGGUGCGUAACACGUGAGCAACCUACCGAAAUGUGGGGGAUAGGCCGGCCUAACGGCCGAGUAAUACCGCAUACGCUCUCGAGUGAGGCAUUUCAUUGAGAGGAAACCUACGGGACAUUUCGAGGGGCUCGCGGCCUAUCAGCUAGUUGGCGAGGAACGGCUCACCAAGGCAACGACGGGUAGCUGGUCUGAGAGGAUGGCCAGCCACAUUGGGACUGAGACACGGCCCAGACUCCUACGGGAGGCAGCAGUAGGGAAUCUUGCACAAUGGACGAAAGUCUGAUGCAGCGACGCCGCGUGAGGGAUGACGGCCU